AGUAACGGCGAGUGAAGCGGCAACAGCUCAAAUUUGAAAUCUGGCCUCGGCCCGAGUUGUAAUUUGCAGAGGAUGCUUCUGGCGACGUGCCUUCCGAGUCCCCUGGAACGGGGCGCCACAGAGGGUGAGAGCCCCGUACGGUUGGAUGCCGAGCCUGUGUGAAGCUCCUUCGACGAGUCGAGUAGUUUGGGAAUGCUGCUCUAAAUGGGAGGUAAAUUCCUUCUAAAGCUAAAUACCGGCCAGAGACCGAUAGCGCACAAGUAGAGUGAUCGAAAGAUGAAAAGCACUUUGGAAAGAGGGUUAAACAGUACGUGAAAUUGCUGAAAGGGAAGCGCUCGCGACCAGACUCGAGCCGGGCGGAUCAUCCAGCGUUCUCUCGCUGGUGCACUUCGCCCGUGCCCGGGCCAGCAUCGGUUCUGACGGGGGGACAAAAGCCCGGGAAACGUAGCUCCCCCUCGGGGAGUGUUAUAGUCCCUCGCCCAAUACCCCCGCCGGGACCGAGGACCGCGCCUCGUGCAAGGAUGCUGGCGUAAUGGUCGUCAGCGACCCGUCUUGAAACACGGACCAAGGAGUCGAACAUUUGUGCGAGUGUUUGGGUGGAAAACCCUCACGCGUAAUGAAAGUGAACGGAGGUGGGAGCCUCGGCGCACCAUCGACCGAUCCUGAAGCUUGUCGGAUGGAUUUGAGUAAGAGCAUAACUGUUCGGACCCGAAAGAUGGUGAACUAUGCCUGUAUAGGGUGAAGCCAGAGGAAACUCUGGUGGAGGCUCGCAGCGGUUCUGACGUGCAAAUCGAUCGUCAAAUAUGGGCAUGGGGGCGAAAGACUAAUCGAACCAUCUAGUAGCUGGUUUCCGCCGAAGUUUCCCUCAGGAUAGCAGUGCUGAUCUCAGUUUUAUGAGGUAAAGCGAAUGAUUAGGGACUCGGGGGCGCUAUUUAGCCUUCAUCCAUUCUCAAACUUUAAAUAUGU
Molecule: ribosomal RNA, 966 nt
Filed under: Rambellisea gigliensis
Lineage: Eukaryota; Fungi; Ascomycota; Sordariomycetes; Lulworthiales; Lulworthiaceae
Description: partial large subunit ribosomal RNA
Rfam family: Eukaryotic large subunit ribosomal RNA
Source: RNAcentral